This 559-nucleotide ribosomal RNA is filed under the name uncultured Alphaproteobacteria bacterium. RNAcentral's name for it is "bacterial SSU rRNA". It matches the Rfam family "Bacterial small subunit ribosomal RNA", at positions 170 to 763 of the family's 1533-position model. The record is from RNAcentral. Lineage: Bacteria; Pseudomonadati; Pseudomonadota; Alphaproteobacteria.
CGUAUACGCCCUUUGGGGGAAAGAUUUAUCGGAGAAGGAUUAGCCCGCGUUGGAUUAGGUAGUUGGUGGGGUAAUGGCCUACCAAGCCGACGAUCCAUAGCUGGUUUGAGAGGAUGAUCAGCCACACUGGGACUGAGACACGGCCCAGACUCCUACGGGAGGCAGCAGUGGGGAAUCUUAGACAAUGGGGGCAACCCUGAUCUAGCCAUGCCGCGUGAGUGAUGAAGGCCUUAGGGUUGUAAAGCUCUUUCAGCUGGGAAGAUAAUGACGGUACCAGCAGAAGAAGCCCCGGCUAACUCCGUGCCAGCAGCCGCGGUAAUACGGAGGGGGCUAGCGUUGUUCGGAAUUACUGGGCGUAAAGCGCACGUAGGCGGACCAGAAAGUUGGAGGUGAAAUCCCAGGGCUCAACCUUGGAACUGCCUUCAAAACUAUUGGUCUGGAGUUCGAGAGAGGUGAGUGGAAUUCCGAGUGUAGAGGUGAAAUUCGUAGAUAUUCGGAGGAACACCAGUGGCGAAGGCGGCUCACUGGCUCGAUACUGACGCUGAGGUGCGAAAGCGUG